RNAcentral lists this unclassified non-coding RNA (138 nucleotides) under Zea mays. RNAcentral describes it as "partial miscellaneous RNA". Lineage: Eukaryota; Viridiplantae; Streptophyta; Magnoliopsida; Poales; Poaceae. The record is from RNAcentral.
CCGCCCCUUAUCCAGCUAAAGGAUUUUCUCUUUUUUCCAUUCAUUAUUAUUCUAUUUAUUCUGACCUCCAUACCUCGAUCGAGAUAGUGGACAUAGGAUGCCACUCUUUAAAAUGAAAAAAAGGAGUAAUCAGCUGUG